ACGCAGGGCGAGUAGUCGCCUUUAUGUCCGUGAGGAGAGACGUGUGGUGUCCUCUCACUCCCACCCCACAUCAAGCCUUCCAUCGAGCACAGCCACCAACCAACCACCUAGCACCCCCCUCCCACAAACACACGCAACCGAGGAGAGAUGCACAUGCGAAAGGGAGGACAGCGUAGCCGUUCGUUGCGUCUCCCUCUUCAUUCCCUCUCGCUGUUUUUCAUGUUAUUGUUAUCUCAUUUCAGCUCGCGUCUCUGCCGACGACGCCGCUGACUUGGUUUACGCAUUUACGGCCUAGUCUGCUUUGGAUCCGCGUGCAUCUCUAGAGCAUAGACCUCUUUUAUUCAGCAUUCUCUUUCCUAGAUGCACGUACACUGACCUCCGCACUUUCUUUUUUUUUUCUGUCCAAAGAGACGCACACGUACGCACAUACGCCGCCCAUUGUCCAUCAACGGACAGAAUUGGCCAGACCGCCGCGUGAGGAAACCGUUUUCGCUCAUACCGGCGCGUCAGCCCUAUUCGCCGAAUGGAGCGGGACAAGCCGCCACCGGCUCUACGCUUUGCUCGUCAGUGGACAUUGCCUUCCAGUUCGGCGAGCGACGCCGGUUUCGCUACCCUUGCCUAUCCGUCGUGGCACACAGAGUCCCCCUCACCAUUUAACCGAUCUCAGGUGCCCCUGACGCCAUCCCCCGACAGAGCCGGGCGGCGACAACCGCUGGAAGGUUCCCUCGCGCCAGGCUCGCCGUCUCCUAUACCACCCUCGGAGCUGUCAGCGCUGACUUCGGGAGGUGCCGCGCACCACACCGAUGCCUCACUGCAGCGGGCGUCGCGCCCUGUGCCAGCUGCUCCGUCCGCAAGCAACGUCGCAGCACGAUGCGUACAGCCGGUGAUGCUAGCCAGUGAUGCGGAUGGCAAGUCGUUCUGGCGGCGCCAAGCGCAGCGCCUCGAGGCGAAGUGCGCCGCACUGGAGGAGGAGCUCAAAACCGUCUACCGCGUCCUCGGCAAAGAGGCCAAUGAUAUCCCUCGUGCGCUGGAGGCGAGUAGUCAUACCUCUUUGAUGGCGGCCGGAAGCGUCAACCCUACCUAUGAGACGGUGGCGCAGGAGCGCGACAUGGCGCGGCUGGAGCUGACGCGAGAAAGGGAAAAAAAUUUUCUUCUGCGUCACCGCCUGCGGGAGAUGGAUGCGGAGGUGCAUCGGCUGCAAAGUCGGCAUGCCCGUGACGUAGGCAAGCAGCGCGUUGGCGAUGCAUCAAAGCGGGCGUCGCCGUCUUCUAAGUCUGUCUCAAAAAUGGGUGUGCUUUCCUCGAGACACCAGCGCGCUUCCAGUCGCUGCUGCUCGAGCUCUUGCUCUUCGACACAAUCCACACGUGAUGUGCGGCGUUCGCCCAUCUACCCACGCUCUCGCAGCAUCACGCGACCGUACACUUCGUCGUCCGCAAAGCGGGAGGAGUCGCCACGACCAACGCCGGCGCCGGUGUCCACGUCUUCUGCCCACUACAGCGACAACUCUAUGAUCACCCGGUCUUCGACCGCCUCAACGUCGUCCUCGACACACCGUGAGAGUGGCCGCCGGGCCGCCAACACGUCUGCGGCAGCUCCAGCAGCUUUCGGAAAACCCCGUGGUCGUAGCACGCACUCGCCUCUGAAACCGAGCCGACAGGCGACAGACCCCUACGAAGCGGAGGCGCGUGACUUGCUCACAUGGCUGCUAAGUGCUCGCCCUUCCUCGUCCUCUCCGAGCCGGUGCCAGCCGUUCGUGUGGCGGAAAGGCGCUGCCGGGUCACGCGGGCCAGAACCUCUACGCCGCUCUAACCUUGAGAGUCCACCCAGACGUGUGCGCCAUAACGACCUCUUCAGUGCCACUGUCGCCGUCAGCGAAGGCGAAGGAAACGGCGGCCGAUUGGCGCAUGGAACGGCACGGGGAGCGGCGAAGGCUCGUCCAGCGAUUCGGGACAGUCGACUGCUGUCGCCUAUUCCGCUGCAGCAAGAGAGGGAUGCCGCUGAUGACGAAAAAGCAAGGGACCACCCCACAGGUGCCGUUCGGUCGCUCUGUGCGAUGCCGUUGCAGGUGCGAGCGCCACGGAGCGCCGCGGGCCCGUCUCGCGACGCGCUCUCCGGCAAAGGGGCCCUUAGAGGGCACGCUGGCGAUGGGGAAUGGAUUGCGUGGCAGCCGCACGUUAUAGCGCCAGGGCAACAGUCUGGUGGGGCGUAAAAAGCGGCGGCGCUUCUCUUUUUCACGUGCAUUCCAUUGGCAUCGUGCUUUUUCUCCUGCCUUUUGGCACUCGGUGAAGGACCGGCGCGUUCGUCGCAUGGUAGCUGCGGGCAGUGGACGCUUUUUCCGUGAGUCCGUGGUGGUGGUAGUGGUGCUGCUGCUGUGCGUGCGCAUGAUGCAUGAGCCACAGCGGCGACGGAAAGGGCAAGAGAGACGCGGCGCAAUCGUGUAUCAGCGGUGCGUCGGAGACCAUCGGCGAAAACGACGCCACCGGCAGCCCCCAUGUCCCACAGGUAAGCCGAUGAGAAGCGAGACCCUUGGAGACUAUUGAAUAUCAAAGUGCACGGUUGUGUUCACGCAGAGGUGAGGCGGUGUGUGUGGUGGCCGCUCCCAGAGCUUCACCAAGGCUGUUGAAGCCGAGGUUAGUGCCGGAAAG
Molecule: unclassified non-coding RNA, 2645 nt
Filed under: Leishmania donovani
Lineage: Eukaryota; Euglenozoa; Kinetoplastea; Trypanosomatida; Trypanosomatidae
Description: gene:LdHU3.36.1120(CDS-product:hypothetical_prote in_conserved)
Source: RNAcentral